UUUAUUAAUGUUUAGUUGUAGUGUUUUUAGUAGGCUUUUACUUAUUUUAUUGGGUCUUUUUCUUUUAUUUUUCGGAUUGGGCUCUUCCUAGUGGGUUAUACACUUGUUUUUGGGCCAAAAAAUCUUAUCAAUUCGGCCCAGCCCGUAGCCACUUAAGCCCACCUCUCCCCUUUCAUUAAACGGAGUCGUUUUGGUGUCUUAAGGCUUCAUUUUUCUUCUUCUUUCUUCUCCCUUCUUGCGCCGUUCACUUCCCUUUUUUCUUCAUCAUUUUCGUCGCUUCUUCUUCUUCAGCAGACCGGCUCUUUCUUCCUCCCUUGUGAUGCCGAUUCCUUCACAUUUUCGUCUGGUCUGGCCGAGCUUCUUUGUGUGUCUCAUUCCUCUUCUUUUUUCCUUGUUUAUUUCAUGUUAUUGUGGUGUAAAACUCCUGCUAUCUUCUUGGGUUGAUCACGAAUUUAUGCUCUGUUUUUAUACCCAGAAUUGCUCUGUUUUUCUUGGUCAUUUUGUGUCCCUUUUUUUUUCCUCUCUUUAUCUCUAUUAUUUUCGUGUACAAGAUUUUGGGUAAAACCUUGUGAUUUUCUGAAGUUUUCUCUCCAAAACUGUGAUCUGUAGCUAGUCCUUGCCGUGCCCUGUUUUGCUCUUGUAGCCGUGGACUCCAUUUCUAUUUCUUGUGAGCUUUUAGUUCAAACCGUGUGUUACAUUUCCAAGCAUUUAUCUCAAGCUUAUUUUCAGUAAAAAUCAGCCCCUUUUAUUCCACAAAUUUCACCUUAAAUCCCUUUGUUUUCAAAACUCAUUUUAGCCCCAAAACUUGUAAAUUUUGGUAAAUUAUUUUCAAGCUAGCUUUUGAAGUUAAUCGGGUAUUUGAUCUUCCAGAAUUAUUUCCUUUAAAAGCGUUAUUUUGAUGCAGAUGGUGAAGAGGCUGAGUCCAAGGAGGCGGCUCCACCGAAAGAGUAGAUUGGUGUCUCUACUUGUAAUUGUUAGAAAUUAUUUUCCGUUUUCAAAUUAUGUAUUUUGGUUUAUGACUUUGUUACUGGAAUUUGUAAUAUUUUUAGUAUGAUUAUGUUUAAGCGAAUUUGUAUUAAACAAAUUCUGGUACUUAGUCGACUGACUUUAUUUAUCCACUACAUCAUUUUUAUUGUA
Molecule: long non-coding RNA, 1137 nt
Organism: Carya illinoinensis
Lineage: Eukaryota; Viridiplantae; Streptophyta; Magnoliopsida; Fagales; Juglandaceae
Exons: 3
Source: RefSeq, a predicted model, not a curated record